Molecule: ribosomal RNA, 323 nt
Filed under: Skeletonema marinoi
Lineage: Eukaryota; Bacillariophyta; Thalassiosirophyceae; Thalassiosirales; Thalassiosiraceae
Description: partial Bacterial large subunit ribosomal RNA
Rfam family: Bacterial large subunit ribosomal RNA
Source: RNAcentral
UGAAACAUCUAAGUACCCGGAGGAGAAGAAAACAAAAGUGAUUCCGAUAGUAGCGGCGAGCGAAAUUGGAUUAGCCCAAACCAGUAUUGUUACGGCAAUGCUGGGGUUGUAGGACCACGAUAUUCGAGUCAAGAUGAAUUAGAACAGUUUGGAAAGACUGACCAAAGAGGGUGAUAGUCCCGUAUAAGUAAAGAAUGAUAAGAUAGUGGUAUCCUGAGUAGUGCGGGGCACGUGUAACCCUGUGUGAAUCAGUCGGGACCAUCCGAUAAGGCUAAAUACUCCUGAGAGACCGAUAGUGAACUAGUACCGUGAGGGAAAGGUGA